RNAcentral lists this long non-coding RNA (291 nucleotides) under Nicotiana benthamiana. RNAcentral's name for it is "long non-coding RNA (NBEN_LNC016374)". The record is from RNAcentral. Lineage: Eukaryota; Viridiplantae; Streptophyta; Magnoliopsida; Solanales; Solanaceae.
AUUAACGACCAUCGUCUUCUUGACGCACCUCACUAAACGCACACACACAAACACACAAACCCAUGAAGAUAUUUGGUUUUCAGUGGAGUCCUAUGGAGGUUGAGUCGCGUGAGAUCUGUCCGAAGUUUCCGACGAGGUCCGUUCGUAGUUCCGUCGAGGGUCGAUGAAUUUCCGGGGGUAUGUUUUGUUGAGUUGUUUAUGUUGCUUAUCGUCCAGGGAUGUGUAUGUAUUCAUAAAACUAUUCGAGAAAAACAAUCUGUUUUAAUUAUUUUGUUCAUCUAAUGCUGCUAC